This 411-nucleotide ribosomal RNA is filed under the name Bacillota bacterium. Its description in RNAcentral is "Firmicutes bacterium partial 16S ribosomal RNA". It matches the Rfam family "Bacterial small subunit ribosomal RNA", at positions 355 to 776 of the family's 1533-position model. The record is from RNAcentral. Lineage: Bacteria; Bacillati; Bacillota.
UGGGGAAUCUUGCACAAUGGGCGAAAGCCUGAUGCAGCGACGCCGCGUGGGGGAUGAAGGCCCUCGGGUUGUAAACUCCUUUCGGCAGGGAAGAAGCCGCAAGGUGACGGUACCUGCAGAAGAAGCCCCGGCCAACUACGUGCCAGCAGCCGCGGUAAGACGUAGGGGGCGAGCGUUGUCCGGAUUUACUGGGCGUAAAGCGCGCGUAGGCGGCUCGUUAAGUCGGGUGUGAAACCCCGGGGCUCAACCCCGGGACUGCAUCCGAUACUGGCGGGCUCGAGGCAGGUAGGGGAGAGUGGAAUUCCCGGUGUAGCGGUGAAAUGCGCAGAUAUCGGGAGGAACACCGGUGGCGAAGGCGGCUCUCUGGGCCUGUCCUGACGCUCAGGCGCGAAAGCUAGGGGAGCAAACAGG